RNAcentral lists this ribosomal RNA (492 nucleotides) under uncultured bacterium. RNAcentral describes it as "partial 16S ribosomal RNA". It matches the Rfam family "Bacterial small subunit ribosomal RNA", at positions 29 to 507 of the family's 1533-position model. The record is from RNAcentral.
AGUGAACGCUGGCGGUAGGCCUAACACAUGCAAGUCGAACGGCAGCACAGUAAGAGCUUGCUCUUACUGGUGGCGAGUGGCGGACGGGUGAGGAAUACAUCGGAAUCUACUUUUUCGUGGGGGAUAACGUAGGGAAACUUACGCUAAUACCGCAUACGUCCUACGGGUGAAAGCAGGGGAUCUUCGGACCUUGCGCGAUUGAAUGAGCCGAUGUCGGAUUAGCUAGUUGGCGGGGUAAAGGCCCACCAAGGCGACGAUCCGUAGCUGGUCUGAGAGGAUGAUCAGCCACACUGGAACUGAGACACGGUCCAGACUCCUACGGGAGGCAGCAGUGGGGAAUAUUGGACAAUGGGCGCAAGCCUGAUCCAGCCAUACCGCGUGGGUGAAGAAGGCCUUCGGGUUGUAAAGCCCUUUUGUUGGGAAAGAAAAGCAGCAGGUUAAUACCCCGCUGUUCUGACGGUACCCAAAGAAUAAGCACCGGCUAACUUCGUG